AUUGGCCUUGGGUGUUCGUGAUGCAAUUUUUCCUUAGAGCCAACACCUAACAAUGGGGGGCCAGUAUCAGGUAGCCUUAUGGCGCUUGAAAAAGUGCCGUGAAAGGCUAUUCUCGAGGUACCCACUUAUCAUUGCUAGGUUCUAGGAAAAUUCCGCACACGGCACCUUAGGCUUUAA
Molecule: non-coding RNA, 177 nt
Filed under: Desulfurella acetivorans
Lineage: Bacteria; Pseudomonadati; Campylobacterota; Desulfurellia; Desulfurellales; Desulfurellaceae
Also listed under: 2 other names
Description: 6S RNA
Rfam family: 6S / SsrS RNA
About the family: E. coli 6S RNA was the first non coding RNA to be sequenced, but its function was unknown until recently. It consists of 184 nucleotides that fold into an extended hairpin structure with a large single-stranded internal bulge.
Source: RNAcentral